Molecule: ribosomal RNA, 342 nt
Filed under: unidentified microorganism
Description: bacterial SSU rRNA
Rfam family: Bacterial small subunit ribosomal RNA
Source: RNAcentral
CCCUGUCCUGUGUUGCCAGCAUGUAAAGAUGGGAACUCACAGGAGACUGCCGCGGAGAACGCGGAGGAAGGCGGGGAUGACGUCAAGUCAUCAUGCCCCUUAUGACCUGGGCUACACACGUACUACAAUGGGAUGUACAGAGGGCAGCGAAGCCGCGAGGCGGAGCGAAUCCCAUAAAACAUCUCCCAGUUCGGAUUGCAGGCUGAAACCCGCCUGCAUGAAGUCGGAAUCGCUAGUAAUCGCAGGUCAGCAUACUGCGGUGAAUACGUUCCCGGGCCUUGUACACACCGCCCGUCACACCACGAAAGUCAUUCACACCCGAAGCCGGUGGGUUAACCGCAA